This 470-nucleotide ribosomal RNA is filed under the name uncultured glomeraceous AM fungus. RNAcentral's name for it is "bacterial SSU rRNA". It matches the Rfam family "Eukaryotic small subunit ribosomal RNA", at positions 1216 to 1714 of the family's 1831-position model. The record is from RNAcentral. Lineage: Eukaryota; Fungi; Glomeromycota; Glomeromycetes; Glomerales; Glomeraceae.
AGCUAGGUCUAACAUUGUUAUGAUUGACAGAUUAAGAGUUCUUUCUCGAUUCUAUGGGUGGUGGUGCAUGGCCGUUCUUAGUCGGUGAGGUGACUUGUCUGGUUCAUUCCGACAACGGACGAGACCUCGACCUACUAAUUAACAAUAUUCAUUCUGAUGGAUAAUCGUUACUUAGGGGGACACUGUGUGCAAACGCAGGGAAGUCCGAGCCUAUAACAGGUCUGUGAUGCCCUUAGAUGGCCUGGGCUGCACGUGCGCUACAAUGGAUAAAUUAGCAAGAUCCUCCUCUGAUAAGAGCAGGAAAUCUUUUGAAAUUUAUCCGUGAUUGGGAUCGAUCAUUGCAAUUAUUGAUCGUGAACGAGGAAUUCCUAGUAAGGACAAGUCAUCAUCUUGUGCUGAUGAUGUCCCUGCCCUUUGUACACACCGCCCGUCGCUUCAACCGAUUGGGAUGAUCCGGGCAAAGUGGAUGG